RNAcentral lists this ribosomal RNA (429 nucleotides) under Chloroflexota bacterium. RNAcentral's name for it is "Chloroflexi bacterium partial 16S ribosomal RNA". It matches the Rfam family "Bacterial small subunit ribosomal RNA", at positions 355 to 776 of the family's 1533-position model. Lineage: Bacteria; Bacillati; Chloroflexota. The record is from RNAcentral.
UGGGGAAUAUUGCACAAUGGGCGCAAGCCUGAUGCAGCCAUGCCGCGUGUAUGAAGAAGGCCUUCGGGUUGUAAAGUACUUUCAGUCGGGAGGAAGGUGGUAAGGUUAAUAACCUUAUCAAUUGACGUUACCGACAGAAGAAGCACCGGCUAACUCCGUGCCAGCAGCCGCGGUAAUACGGAGGGUGCAAGCGUUAAUCGGAAUUACUGGGCGUAAAGCGCACGCAGGCGGUUUGUUAAGUCAGAUGUGAAAUCCCCGGGCUUAACCCGGGAAUUGCAUCUGAUACUGGUCAGCUAGAGUCUUGUAGAGGGGGGUAGAAUUCCAUGUGUAGCGGUGAAAUGCGUAGAGAUGUGGAGGAAUACCGGUGGCGAAGGCGGCCCCCUGGACAAAGACUGACGCUCAGGUGCGAAAGCGUGGGGAGCAAACAGG